Molecule: long non-coding RNA, 318 nt
Organism: Poecilia latipinna (sailfin molly)
Lineage: Eukaryota; Metazoa; Chordata; Actinopteri; Cyprinodontiformes; Poeciliidae
Exons: 2
Source: RefSeq, a predicted model, not a curated record
AGGAGAACCUGGUGGACUCAAUCUUCUAGCAAUCAGAGUGCAGCUACUUUUGGUGUGACUGACCUGUCACUCCUGUUUGAGAGCAUGAGAAGCAAACAGUGCUGGUAGCAUGUAAAUUCAGAACUGUGUAAAAGUUUCUACAAACUGUGAAAGACAGCCGGUUUUUCACCUAUGGGCUAUGCGGACCAUCAUACAAAAAAUAAAGAUGAGUCAAAUAAAUUAAAGGCCCUUUGAGUGAAAUCCAGUUCAAACUUCACAGUGGAAACUAUCCCUUUCAAGUGGGGAAUUGCACAGUAAACCUAACCUGAAAAACUUGAC